Molecule: ribosomal RNA, 165 nt
Filed under: Celmisia mackaui
Lineage: Eukaryota; Viridiplantae; Streptophyta; Magnoliopsida; Asterales; Asteraceae
Description: 5.8S ribosomal RNA
Rfam family: 5.8S ribosomal RNA
About the family: 5.8S ribosomal RNA (5.8S rRNA) is a component of the large subunit of the eukaryotic ribosome. It is transcribed by RNA polymerase I as part of the 45S precursor that also contains 18S and 28S rRNA.
Source: RNAcentral
AAACGACUCUCGGCAACGGAUAUCUCGGCUCACGCAUCGAUGAAGAACGUAGCAAAAUGCGAUACUUGGUGUGAAUUGCAGAAUCCCGUGAACCAUCGAGUUUUUGAACGCAAGUUGCGCCCGAAGCCAUUCGGCCGAGGGCACGUCUGCCUGGGCGUCACGCUU